Molecule: long non-coding RNA, 1105 nt
Filed under: Heterocephalus glaber (naked mole-rat)
Lineage: Eukaryota; Metazoa; Chordata; Mammalia; Rodentia; Bathyergidae
Description: lncRNA (ENSHGLG00100035103.1)
Source: RNAcentral
GGAGCCACGACCAUUGAGCCCGGCCGCGAGGGCCCGAUCCUGGGGGCCGGGGCGCUGGGUCCGCUCCGCCCCCACUCAGCGCGGGGCCGAGCCCGGGGAAGGGCCGCGUACCUGGCGGAGACAAUGACCGCGUCAGGCCUCCUCCCAGCGCAGCCGGGGCAGCCGCCGGAGCGUGUUCUUGGAGAGGAGGAAGAGUCCGGGAACACCACCCCCCGGCCACCAUCGGGGCUCACAAUCCCCUCUGAGAGGGCUAGAGGUGGCACAGGGAGGGCUGGCCCCUCUCUGAGUGACUGAGAUGGGAAGAAAAACUGAUGCCCCAGGACCCUGGUAAUUUCUGUGGCAGCCUCAUGGCCAUAGGAAGACCCAUGGACAGCAGCUGUGGUGAGGUGUACCAGGUAGGGAUAGCAGUAGGUAGACAGUGGCACUGCAUUCAGAUGCAACAUGGCACAGGGAGUCUGAAGCUUCUGUGGGAGGUGUGCUUGUGUGAGCAUGAGCGUGUGUGUGUGUGUGUGUGUGUGUGUGUGUGUAGGCACAUUGUAUGCAGAACCAAAAGAAUUAGGAGUGAAAGAGCAAGGCCAGUGCCUCAAAAGCUAGAGAAUGCAGGGCGUGGUGGCACACACCUGUAAUACCAGCACUCAGGAGACUGUGGCAGGAGGAUUGCCACAUGUUUAGGGCCAUCCUGAGCUACAUAACAAGUUCAAGGCCAGCCUGACCUAUGUAGCAAGACCCUGUCUUAAAACACAAAAAAGGACUGGGGAUGUGGCUCAGUGGCAGAGCAACUGUCAUGCAUAAAGGAGGCCCUGGGCUCAAUUCACUGUGGAUAUGACAGCACUAACACUUCAUUUACAAAGAGAGCCAGAUGCAAGUCACUGAAUCAGCGAGUUAUCGAGUUAUCGCUUACCCGGGUCCCCAAGGCUAGGCCAAGCAUUAGAGCUUGGCUACAGAGAGAAAUCAACCCCCCCCCCCAGCACUUGCAGUCUAAGUGGGAAGCAGGAAUGCUGCAGCAGCAAAGUCAGAUACCUUCUGUCGAGGCCUGGGGCACAGCACCCGCCUGGGGCUGCGGGAACUCAAGGUCACCUCGCGGAGGCGGCAGCGAGAGCCCACU